GAAACGGUAAAAGCCGAGUGAUUUCCUGUCACUCGCGAGUUGUAGGAGUUGCAUGUUUACUCUUCUGUUAAAACUAGAACCCAAUGACCGCUGGCGUUAGCCCCGGAGUCCUGCACCACCGCCCUCUUCGCUCAAUCGCCGCCCCGGCAGAGCACUCCAUUGCUUCUCCCCGACCUUCGCGCCGCUCCCCUUCUCUCUCUCCCGCGCCGCUUCCUUUCUCCGUUCCCGCAGCUAUAAAAGAA
This 242-nucleotide long non-coding RNA is filed under the name Setaria viridis. Its description in RNAcentral is "long non-coding RNA (SVIR_LNC007814)". Lineage: Eukaryota; Viridiplantae; Streptophyta; Magnoliopsida; Poales; Poaceae. The record is from RNAcentral.